GACGAACGCUGGCGGCGUGCUUAACACAUGCAAGUCGAACGGAAAGGCCCUGCUUUUGUGGGGUGCUCGAGUGGCGAACGGGUGAGUAACACGUGAGUAACCUGCCCUUGACUUUGGGAUAACUUCAGGAAACUGGGGCUAAUACCGGAUAGGAGCUCCUGCUGCAUGGUGGGGGUUGGAAAGUUUCGGCGGUUGGGGAUGGACUCGCAGCUUAUCAGCUUGUUGGUGGGGUAGUGGCUUACCAAGGCUUUGACGGGCAGCCGGCCUGAGAGGGUGACCGGCCACAUUGGGACUGAGAUACGGCCCAGACUCCUACGGGAGGCAGCAGUGGGGAAUAUUGCACAAUGGGCGGAAGCCUGAUGCAGCAACGCCGCGUGCGGGAUGACGGCCUUCGGGUUGUAAACCGCUUUCGCCUGUGACGAAGCGUGAGUGACGGUAAUGGGUAAAGAAGCACCGGCUAACUACGUG
RNAcentral lists this ribosomal RNA (468 nucleotides) under uncultured bacterium. Its description in RNAcentral is "partial 16S ribosomal RNA". It matches the Rfam family "Bacterial small subunit ribosomal RNA", at positions 28 to 507 of the family's 1533-position model. The record is from RNAcentral.